CCCUGUGCCCGAGCACCCUUGGCGUGCUUCAGCAGGAGGCUCACUGCUGGAGAGUGGGUGGUCUCGGCACAUCAUUCAAAUUGGCAUAAGAGAAAAGCAAGGCCAGGUCUGUGCGUGUGCGUGACCCACUGAGUGUGUAACGGAAAGUCCCAGAGGGCAUCACUUCAGACCUGCUGGACCCACAGCGGGAGUGGGUGCAAGGCCAGCUCCUCCCUGUCUCCCAGCGUGGCCUCUGCUCUGCUGGCUUUGUCCCCAGCUUCCUCACAUGGCUCAAACCCUCUAGGGACCCCUGAUGUCCUCCAGGGAGCCAGCAUGGCUGCAGCACCCUCCUCCCCACCGUCCAGGUGCAGCCCGAGGAGAAAGAGCAGUCUCCUCCAAAGUGCUCCAGAGCUAACGUCCAACCUGUGAGACGAGCUGGGGUCACACGCUCAUCCCUGAACCAACCCUGGCAGAGGCAGCUGGGUGGGCUCAGCCUGGGCCACAUGCCUCCCUCUGAGUCUUGGGCCACCCGUCUGUGUGGGCAGCAUGGGGUUCCAACAAGCCUGGCUGAGGCAGGGUCAGGAGGACAAGGGAAUGGCAGAGAGAACCUCUUCAGCAACCCUCUGGAGUCCACUUGAAGAUGCC
RNAcentral lists this long non-coding RNA (624 nucleotides) under Marmota monax (woodchuck). Lineage: Eukaryota; Metazoa; Chordata; Mammalia; Rodentia; Sciuridae. The record is from RNAcentral.